Molecule: ribosomal RNA, 429 nt
Filed under: Bacteroidota bacterium
Lineage: Bacteria; Pseudomonadati; Bacteroidota
Description: Bacteroidetes bacterium partial 16S ribosomal RNA
Rfam family: Bacterial small subunit ribosomal RNA
Source: RNAcentral
UAGGGAAUCUUCCGCAAUGGACGCAAGUCUGACGGAGCAACGCCGCGUGAGUGAAGAAGGAUUUCGGUUCGUAAAACUCUGUUGUUAGAGAAGAACAGCGCAUAGAGUAACUGUUAUGCGUGUGAAGGUAUCUAACCAGAAAGCCACGGCUAACUACGUGCCAGCAGCCGCGGUAAUACGUAGGUGGCAAGCGUUGUCCGGAUUUAUUGGGCGUAAAGCGAGCGCAGGCGGUCAAUUAAGUCUGAUGUGAAAGCCCCCGGCUCAACCGGGGAGGGUCAUUGGAAACUGGUUGACUUGAGUGCAGAAGAGGAGAGUGGAAUUCCAUGUGUAGCGUUGAAAUGCGUAGAUAUAUGGAGGAACACCAGUGGCGAAGGCGACUCUCUGGUCUGUAACUGACGCUGAGGCUCGAAAGCGUGGGUAGCAAACAGG